UGAGUAGGAUGGAUGAUCGCUGCCGUGCAAACGAAAGGGCACGGGAGAGGAAAGUCCGGGCUUCACAGGGCAGGAUGCCAGAUAACGUCUGGUGGAGGCAACUCCCAGGAUAGUGCAACAGAGAUAUACCGCGUUAGCAAUGAGACACGCGGCUGGAAUGGGAUGGGACAUAUUCACGCUUGCGUGAAAUAUGGCACAGAACAUUUCAGUCAUGCGGCGAAUGCCGCGUAACGAGGAACGCUUGCGUUCCGAGUCCGCGUUUUGUCUGGCUGGCGUAAGGGUGGAAAGGCAGUGUAAGAGACUACCGUGCUGGUGGUAACAUCAGUAGCCAUGUAAACCCCAUUCGAAGCAAGACCGAAAAGAAAGCAAUGAGCCGGCCCGGUUCGCUUUCAGGUGGGUCGCUUGAGACUGUCGGUGAC
This 419-nucleotide RNase P RNA is filed under the name Butyrivibrio sp. RNAcentral's name for it is "partial RNase P RNA component class A". It matches the Rfam family "Bacterial RNase P class A", at positions 1 to 296 of the family's 367-position model. Rfam says of the family: Ribonuclease P (RNase P) is a ubiquitous endoribonuclease, found in archaea, bacteria and eukarya as well as chloroplasts and mitochondria. Its best characterised activity is the generation of mature 5'-ends of tRNAs by cleaving the 5'-leader elements of precursor-tRNAs. The record is from RNAcentral. Lineage: Bacteria; Bacillati; Bacillota; Clostridia; Lachnospirales; Lachnospiraceae.